AUUGAACGCUGGCGGCAGGCCUAACACAUGCGAGUCGAAUGGUAACAGGAAACAGCUUGCUGUUUCGCUGACGAGUGGCGGACGGGUGAGUAAUGUCUGGGAAACUGCCUGAUGGAGGGGGAUAACUACUGGAAACGGUAGCUAAUACCGCAUAACGUCGCAAGACCAAAGAGGGGGACCUUCGGGCCUCUUGCCAUCAGAUGUGCCCAGAUGGGAUUAGCUAGUAGGUGGGGUAACGGCUCACCUAGGCGACGAUCCCUAGCUGGUCUGAGAGGAUGACCAGCCACACUGGAACUGAGACACGGUCCAGACUCCUACGGGAGGCAGCAGUGGGGAAUAUUGCACAAUGGGCGCAAGCCUGAUGCAGCCAUGCCGCGUGUAUGAAGAAGGCCUUCGGGUUGUAAAGUACUUUCAGCGGGGAGGAAGGGAGUAAAGUUAAUACCUUUGCUCAUUGACGUUACCCGCAGAAGAAGCACCGGCUAACUCCGUG
RNAcentral lists this ribosomal RNA (490 nucleotides) under uncultured bacterium. RNAcentral describes it as "partial 16S ribosomal RNA". It matches the Rfam family "Bacterial small subunit ribosomal RNA", at positions 30 to 507 of the family's 1533-position model. The record is from RNAcentral.